This 136-nucleotide ribosomal RNA is filed under the name Anopheles culicifacies A. Its description in RNAcentral is "partial 5.8S ribosomal RNA". It matches the Rfam family "5.8S ribosomal RNA", at positions 30 to 154 of the family's 154-position model. Rfam says of the family: 5.8S ribosomal RNA (5.8S rRNA) is a component of the large subunit of the eukaryotic ribosome. It is transcribed by RNA polymerase I as part of the 45S precursor that also contains 18S and 28S rRNA. Lineage: Eukaryota; Metazoa; Arthropoda; Insecta; Diptera; Culicidae. The record is from RNAcentral.
GGUCAGGAUCGAUGAAGACCGCAGCUAAACGCGCGUCUGAAUGUGAACUGCAGGACACAUGAACACCGACACGUUGAACGCAUAUGGCGCAUCGGACGAUUCAACCCGACCGAUGUACACAUUCUUGAGUGCCUAC